ACCCAGUCCUGAGUUCAGAACAGACGGCUGUUCUCUGCCCUCUGGAAGUAACUCUGCACCACACCCAGCUCCCCCUCUGCCUUUGUGUCCUUCCUCCUAUGGUUUUAAUUGCUGUAAAUGCCCUUUUUGCUUCUUCUCCAGGAUGCUGUGCUCAAAAUUCACCAGGAUUCCAGCUUCAUCUUUAUGUAGGAUCGUCUUCUCAAACAAACAUCAACGUCUGCUCUCUCUAUCUGAUAUUUUCUAACAUUUUGUUCCACACCAAGAUUUUCAUUUGACUACUUGUGCACCUGCCUGUCGGCCCCACCAGACUGCAAGCACAGAAUCUGGAACACAUGUUUUACUUGCUGAUGAAUUGAAGGUGCCUGGGAUUCCAGAGGCUCCAGAUAAAUUCUAGUCAGAUUAAAUCUAGUUCCUAGGAGGUUCACAAUACAAUUUUAAUAUCAUAUCAUUUAAAGUUGGAAGGGGUCUUAGAGAUUCUGUGAUCCAAGAUGGGAAAUAGGUUUUACUUUAAGGCUAGUCCCAAUCCAAUCAUAGGGACUGCCCGACCAGCAUAGUUAGACAGAGGCAAGAUCCUGCUUUAGCUGGAAAGAGAGCUGCACUUGUUUUGCGAAGUUGGCCAGAAGUGAUAGAGGAGGAGGUAGCAAAGCGUGUGUCUCCUCUGCCAUCGAAGAUUCAGUUCACUCCUUCCCAGUUUAUUUUAAAGCCUGCAUGCUAUGGUGGGUGAGGAGAAUUUGGACUGUCACUCCGAAUUUGAAUGCUCUGCCAAACCUCAUCCUCCAAGAACUUCGAUUUCACGGUGUGUGAGAUGAGCACACCCGUUCUGCCUCUUCCCUCCUCCCCAGCUCCUUGUGGUCCUGAAAGUAUUUUACAAAACCAUGAAGCAGUGUAUCAAUGCAUGGUGAUCCCAUCCCAUAGGGCUCUUCCUCAGCAACCUCAGAAAGAGAGAAUUCAAUCCUAAAAAUAUGAUAUCCUAUGAUGGAAGCCGGCCCCUUCUGGAUCUCCCCAGUCCCAUGCUCUCCCGAGGCUUCCUUCUAUUCCUGCAGUAAACCUCUUCCCAGCUUUCGGCCUUUGCUCCUGCAGCUUAGCAAUGCCCCCUGUGCCCAAAACUUCCACAAACUCAAGGGAAUCCUGAUCUAGCUCUGAAUAAAGAAGUUAAUGAAAACUGAACUCAUCCAGUUUCCAGAGACACAGGCCAGAGGAAAAAAAAAAAAAAAAAAAUAUAUAUAUAUAUAUAUAUAUUUUUUAAAUGAUGAAUAUGAGCCAGUAAUUGAGAUUACUUAUUAGUGUCUGGUCCCACACACCCAGCUCUUCCCUGAGCUGCUCAACCCUUCUUCCCACACUCAUUCCCUACACACUUUCCUUAAAGCUCCAUUAAGCAGGUCACCAUGUCCCCACCUGUUCCCACACCAGCCCUCCUCCACCUCCUCUCUCUCUCUUCUCCAUAGCACUUACCACUGUAUGGAAGUGUUACAGCUAUGUACCUGCUAAAUGUUUACCACUUAUCUUCAUCUUCUAGAACUCAAGCACCACGAGGGAAAACACGCUGUUCCUCCUGUGUGCUGCUGUUUCCCCAUGGCUAGGAGUGAUUACGAAAGGCGCUCGAUACGAACACAUUUGCUAAAUGA
RNAcentral lists this long non-coding RNA (1625 nucleotides) under Marmota monax (woodchuck). The record is from RNAcentral. Lineage: Eukaryota; Metazoa; Chordata; Mammalia; Rodentia; Sciuridae.